GAUGAACGCUGGCGGUGUGCCUAAUACAUGCAAGUCGAGCGAACAGACGAGGAGCUUACUCCUCUGACGUUAGCGGCGGACGGGUGAGUAACACGUGGAUAACCUACCUAUAAGACUGGGAUAACUUCGGGAAACCGGAGCUAAUACCGGAUAACAUGUUGAACCGCAUGGUUCAACAGUGAAAGACGGUCUUGCUGUCACUUAUAGAUGGAUCCGCGUCGCAUUAGCUAGUUGGUAAGGUAACGGCUUACCAAGGCAACGAUGCGUAGCCGACCUGAGAGGGUGAUCGGCCACACCGGAACUGAGACACGGUCCAGACUCCUACGGGAGGCAGCAGUAGGGAAUCUUCCGCAAUGGGCGAAAGCCUGACGGAGCAACGCCGCGUGAGUGAAGAAGGUCUUCGGAUCGUAAAACUCUGUUAUUAGGGAAGAACAAAUGUGUAAGUAACUAUGCACGUCUUGACGGUACCUAAUCAGAAAGCCACGGCUAACUACGUG
RNAcentral lists this ribosomal RNA (497 nucleotides) under uncultured bacterium. RNAcentral describes it as "partial 16S ribosomal RNA". It matches the Rfam family "Bacterial small subunit ribosomal RNA", at positions 28 to 507 of the family's 1533-position model. The record is from RNAcentral.